This 1021-nucleotide long non-coding RNA is filed under the name Sarcophilus harrisii (Tasmanian devil). Its description in RNAcentral is "lncRNA (ENSSHAG00000025602.1)". The record is from RNAcentral. Lineage: Eukaryota; Metazoa; Chordata; Mammalia; Dasyuromorphia; Dasyuridae.
AUUUGGAAAGAGCAUCAAGAGACUGACUCUCUUCUCAAUCUUGGCACCAAAGUCCUGUACUUUUUCUUUGCCUCAGUUUUCUUACUUGUAAAAUGAAUGAAUUGAAUAUUUAUGGUCCCUUUCAGCUUCUUUUUUUUUUUUUUUUCCAUUCUCACAUGUAAAGGUUUGUAGAACAGUAAUCUCUUCAAUCUGGUAUUCUUGUGUUUUCUCCUUUACAUUCUUUCUUCCUAAAAUGAGAUCAAAGGGAAGCUCUUAAAGCUUUGCUUCUGCUUUGAAAAUAACUUUUUCUCUUAUUUGCUACUGCUUGGAAGAAGUUAUCUGAGAAGAGGACAGAGAAUCAGUCAUACUUUUUUGCCUUGGUGUUGGUUUGUGGAGAAGAAUGGCUAUGGAGAACAGGCUCAGAAUUUUAUUUUGUUUAAUAAUCAUCUGAUUUCUUUCCAUUGUUGCAAAAGUUGAGCAAUGAAUGGUCAGUGAUACCUCAUUCUCAAUGAGAGAAGUGACAUAUGCAGGUCCAUUUGAUCAUGCAGGAAAAACAAGACGGAGAAGUAAAAAAGCUUAGAAAAGCUAACUCUGCCUACAAAGUAGAGUUAUUUUAAAGUAAAGUUAUUGCCUAAGUAGUGUGGGUCAGGUCCACAUUAGAAGGAAAUAAGACAGGGAGACAGUGUGUAGAAGGAGCAUUGGAUUGAGGGGCAAUUGACCUAAGUUCAGGUAUUAGCUAAUUACUAUUGUGUGACCUUGCAUAAGUUAAGUCACUUCAUUCAACAUCAAGAUUCUCAGCAAUAUAAUAAUUUCUGAAGUGUUUUUUUAAUCCUAGAUUCUAUUUACUUUGUGUGCCACUGUUGUCUGUAAUUGAAGCUUGACUCCAAGGUAAAAGUGUGAUGAUGAUUAUCAACUUCAAGCUUCAAAUCAAGUUGUGCUUUAUAUAUGAACCCAAACAUGUCAUGUGUACCAGAUGUUUUUCUUAAGUGAGUUAACAGAGUUAAAAUUUUGAAAGAAUUUGCUGCUUUAUUUUUAAUGUGGU